GAUGAACGCUGGCGGCGUGCCUAAUACAUGCAAGUCGAGCGAACGGACGAGAAGCUUGCUUUUCUGAUGUUAGCGGCGGACGGGUGAGUAACACGUGGAUAACCUACCUAUAAGACUGGGAUAACUUCGGGAAACCGGAGCUAAUACCGGAUAAUAUUUUGAACCGCAUGGUUCAAAAGUGAAAGACGGUCUUGCUGUCACUUAUAGAUGGAUCCGCGCCGCAUUAGCUAGUUGGUAAGGUAACGGCUUACCAAGGCAACGAUGCAUAGCCGACCUGAGAGGGUGAUCGGCCACACUGGAACUGAGACCAGGUCCAGACUCCUAAGGGAGGCAGCAGUAGGGAAACUUCCGCAAUGGGCGAAAGCCUGACGGAGCAACGCCGCGUGAGUGAUGAAGGUCUUCGGAUCGUAAAAACCUUGUAUUAGGGAAGAACCAAUGUGUAAGUAACUAGGCAACACCUGACGGUACCUAAUCAGAAAGCCACGGCUAACUACGGG
RNAcentral lists this ribosomal RNA (497 nucleotides) under uncultured bacterium. RNAcentral's name for it is "partial 16S ribosomal RNA". It matches the Rfam family "Bacterial small subunit ribosomal RNA", at positions 28 to 507 of the family's 1533-position model. The record is from RNAcentral.